This is a long non-coding RNA of Neofelis nebulosa (Clouded leopard), 343 nucleotides long. RefSeq lists it as uncharacterized. The transcript has 3 exons. NCBI's taxonomy places the organism in Eukaryota, Metazoa, Chordata, Mammalia, Carnivora, Felidae. The record is from RefSeq and is a predicted model, not a curated record.
AUUGUUAAGAAAGACCGUUGCUGAGCACGCGCCCUGCUGCCCACGCGUCCUGUGAGCAGAGCUGAGGAAGAAGCGGUGGUGUGGGCGGUGUCGUGAUCUUUCUGGCUGCCUGCCCUCAACCGGGUGAAAAAUGAGUGGGCGUGUGAGAACAAGGUCUAAAUCUAAACAAAGAAAGGAUGAUGGCAAGGCUAACCAGCCAGCUGCACCUGUGGCUGCCCAGCAGCCCAGUGAUGAGCAGCCUCAACAAAGGGAGGCACCCACUGAGUGUCAGGAUAUUAUGCCGGAGCGAGAGAAAGCAGUUGAAGAAGCACCUCUGGAUGAAGGUGAAGGGAAAGGGAAAAAG